Molecule: ribosomal RNA, 119 nt
Filed under: Acinetobacter baumannii
Lineage: Bacteria; Pseudomonadati; Pseudomonadota; Gammaproteobacteria; Moraxellales; Moraxellaceae
Source: RNAcentral
GCUUACGGCCACACCACCCGGAACGCGCCCGAUCUCGUUCGAUCUCGGAAGCUAAGCAGGGUCGCGCCUGGUUAGUACUUGGAUGGAAGACCGCCUGGGAAUACCAUGUGCUGUAAGUG